RNAcentral lists this transfer RNA (78 nucleotides) under Candidatus Methylomirabilota bacterium. RNAcentral's name for it is "tRNA-Glu". It matches the Rfam family "tRNA". From Rfam's summary of the family: Transfer RNA (tRNA) molecules are approximately 80 nucleotides in length. Their secondary structure includes four short double-helical elements and three loops (D, anti-codon, and T loops). Further hydrogen bonds mediate the characteristic L-shaped molecular structure. tRNAs have two regions of fundamental functional importance: the anti-codon, which is responsible for specific mRNA codon recognition, and the 3' end, to which the tRNAs corresponding amino acid is attached (by aminoacyl-tRNA synthetases). tRNAs cope with the degeneracy of the genetic code in two manners: having more than one tRNA (with a specific anti-codon) for a particular amino acid; and 'wobble' base-pairing, i.e. permitting non-standard base-pairing at the 3rd anti-codon position. Lineage: Bacteria; Methylomirabilota (SeqCode). The record is from RNAcentral.
GUCCCCAUCGUCUAGCCCGGCCCAGGACGCGGCCCUUUCAAGGCCGAAACACGGGUUCGAAUCCCGUUGGGGACGCCA